Molecule: transfer RNA, 73 nt
Filed under: Rhodoluna lacicola
Lineage: Bacteria; Bacillati; Actinomycetota; Actinomycetes; Micrococcales; Microbacteriaceae
Also listed under: 6 other names
Description: tRNA-Gly (GCC) (tRNA-Gly-GCC-1-1)
Rfam family: tRNA
About the family: Transfer RNA (tRNA) molecules are approximately 80 nucleotides in length.
Source: Rfam by way of RNAcentral
GCGGAUGUGGCUCAGUUGGUAGAGCACAACCUUGCCAAGGUUGGGGUCGCGAGUUCGAAUCUCGUCAUCCGCU